UUCACUUCCGAGUCUAUGUUUUCAUAUACCCUUUAUAAUUGAAGUCGAUGAAUGUAUUAGGCUUUGGCCAAUAAAACAAUACAACUUUCAACAAUGGAUCUCUUGGUUCUCGCAUCGAUGAAGAACGCAGCGAAUUGCGAUAUGUAAUGUGAAUUGCAGAAUUCAGUGAAUCAUCGAAUCUUUGAACGCACCUUGCGCCCUUUGGUAUUCCGAAGGGCAUGCCUGUUUGAGUGUCAUUAAAUUCUCAACUUCAACACUUUUUUGUAUUGAAGCUUGGAUGUUGGAGGGUCUUGCGGGCAUAUAUUAAUGUCAGCUCCUCUUAAAUGCAUUAGCAGAACCUGUGUUCGGCUCUGGUUUGAUAAUCCUAUCUAUGCCAUUGCUGAAAUGUCAUUGUUCAGCUUCUAAUGGUCCAUUGGACUGUCUCUUCA
RNAcentral lists this ribosomal RNA (428 nucleotides) under uncultured fungus. RNAcentral's name for it is "eukaryotic LSU rRNA". The stretch from base 83 to 236 matches the Rfam family "5.8S ribosomal RNA". The record is from RNAcentral. Lineage: Eukaryota; Fungi.